UUUGCGUCGAAGGUAUACCGGUAAGGAGUGCUGGAGCGAAUAGAAGUGAGCAUGCAGGCAUGAGUAGCGAUAAUUAAUGUGAGAAUCAUUAACGCCGUAAACCCAAGGUUUCCUACGCGAUGCUCGUCAUCGUAGGGUUAGUCGGGUCCUAAGUCGAGUCCGAAAGGGGUAGACGAUGGCAAAUUGGUUAAUAUUCCAAUACCAACAUUAGUGUGCGAUGGAAGGACGCUUAGGGCUAAGGGGGCUAGCGGAUGGAAGUGCUAGUCUAAGGUCGUAGGAGGUUAUACAGGCAAAUCCGUAUAACAAUACUCCGAGAACUGAAAGGCUUUUUGAAGUCUUCGGAUGGAUAGAAGAACCCCUGAUGCCGUCGAGCCAAGAAAAGUUUCUAAGUUUAGCUAAUGUUGCCCGUACCGUAAACCGACACAGGUGGGUGGGAUGAGUAUUCUAAGGCGCGUGGAAGAACUCUCUUUAAGGAACUCUGCAAAAUAGCACCGUAUCUUCGGUAUAAGGUGUGGUUCGCUUCGUAUUAGGAUUUACUCCGAAAGCGAAGAAACUUACAACAAAGAGUCCCUCCCGACUGUUUACCAAAAACACAGCACUCUGCUAACUCGUAAGAGGAUGUAUAGGGUGUGACGCCUGCCCGGUGCUCGAAGGUUAAUUGAUGGGGUUAGCAUUAGCGAAGCUCUUGAUCGAAGCCCGAGUAAACGGCGGCCGUAACUAUAACGGUCCUAAGGUAGCGAAAUUCCUUGUCGGUUAAAUACCGACCUGCAUGAAUGGCGUAACGAGAUGGGAGCUGUCUCAAAGAGGGAUCCAGUGAAAUUGUAGUGGAGGUGAAAAUUCCUCCUACCCGCGGCAAGACGGAGAGACCCCGUGGACCUUUACUACAGCUUGACACUGCUACUUGGAUAAGAAUGUGCAGGAUAGGUGGGAGGCUUUGAGUAUAUGACGCCAGUUGUAUAUGAGCCAUUGUUGAGAUACCACUCUUUCUUAUUUGGGUAGCUAACCAGCUUGAGUUAUCCUCAAGUGGGACAAUGUCUGGUGGGUAGUUUGACUGGGGCGGUCGCCUCCCAAAUAAUAACGGAGGCUUACAAAGGUUGGCUCAGAACGGUUGGAAAUCGUUCGUAGAGUAUAAAGGUAUAAGCCAGCUUAACUGCAAGACAUACAAGUCAAGCAGAGACGAAAGUCGGUCUUAGUGAUCCGGUGGUUCUGUGUGGAAGGGCCAUCGCUCAAAGGAUAAAAGGUACCCCGGGGAUAACAGGCUGAUCUCCCCCAAGAGCUCACAUCGACGGGGAGGUUUGGCACCUCGAUGUCGGCUCAUCGCAUCCUGGGGCUGGAGCAGGUCCCAAGGGUAUGGCUGUUCGCCAUUUAAAGCGGUACGCGAGCUGGGUUCAGAACGUCGUGAGACAGUUCGGUCCCUAUCUGCCGUGGGCGUAAGAAGAUUGAAGAGAUUUGACCCUAGUACGAGAGGACCGGGUUGAACAAACCACUGGUGUAGCUGUUGUUCUGCCAAGAGCAUCGCAGCGUAGCUAAGUUUGGAAAGGAUAAACGCUGAAAGCAUCUAAGCGUGAAGCCAACUCUAAGAUGAAUCUUCUCUAAGCUCUCUAGAAGACUACUAGUUUGAUAGGCUGGGUGUGUAAUGGAUGAAAGUCCUUUAGCUGACCAGUACUAAUAGAGCGUUUGGCUUAUCUUUAAUAAAGCAU
Molecule: ribosomal RNA, 1700 nt
Filed under: Campylobacter coli
Lineage: Bacteria; Pseudomonadati; Campylobacterota; Epsilonproteobacteria; Campylobacterales; Campylobacteraceae
Description: partial 23S ribosomal RNA
Rfam family: Bacterial large subunit ribosomal RNA
Source: RNAcentral